GACGAACGCUGGCGGCGUGCUUAACACAUGCAAGUCGAACGGAAAGGCCUGCUUUCCCUUGUGGAUUGCGGGUACUCGAGUGGCGAACGGGUGAGUAACACGUGAGUGAUCUGCCCCCAACUUGGGUAUAAGCCUGGGAAACUGGGUCUAAUUCCCGAUAGGACUGCAGGGUGGUGCCUGUGGUGGAAAACGAUUUUCUAGUGGUUGGGGAUGAGCUCGCGGCCUAUCAGCUUGUUGGUGGGGUAAUGGCCUACCAAGGCGGCGACGGGUAGCCGGCCUGAGAGGGUGGACGGCCACAUUGGGACUGAGAUACGGCCCAGACUCCUACGGGAGGCAGCAGUGGGGAAUAUUGCACAAUGGGUGGAAGCCUGAUGCAGCGACGCCGCGUGGGGGAUGACGGCCUUCGGGUUGUAAACUCCUUUCGACCGCGAGGAAGCCACCUGGUUGGAAGGGUGGUGACGGUAGUGGUAGAAGAAGCACCGGCUAACUGCGUG
RNAcentral lists this ribosomal RNA (494 nucleotides) under uncultured bacterium. RNAcentral describes it as "partial 16S ribosomal RNA". It matches the Rfam family "Bacterial small subunit ribosomal RNA", at positions 28 to 507 of the family's 1533-position model. The record is from RNAcentral.